GUAGGUUGCGAGCGUUGUCCGGAUUUACUGGGCGUAAAGCGCACGCAGGCGGUUCCGAAAGUCGAAUGUGAAAGCUCCUGGCCCAACUGGGAGAGGCCGUUCGAAACUUCGGGACUUGAAGGCGGGAGAGGCGGAUGGAAUUUCCGGUGUAGCGGUAAAAUGCGUAGAUACCGGAAGGAACACCAGUGGCGAAAGCGAUCUGCUGGCCCGCCCUUGACGCUCAGGUGCGAAAGCUAGGGGAGCGACCGGGAUUAGAUACCCCGUUAGUCCUAGCCGUAAACAAUGGGCACUAGGUGUUGUCGGUAUCGACCCCGGCAGUGCCGAAGCUAACGCAUUAAGUGCCCCGCCUGGGGAGUACGACCGCAAGGUUA
This 371-nucleotide ribosomal RNA is filed under the name uncultured bacterium. RNAcentral describes it as "bacterial SSU rRNA". It matches the Rfam family "Bacterial small subunit ribosomal RNA", at positions 527 to 896 of the family's 1533-position model. The record is from RNAcentral.